GUCUCGGUAGUGCAGAUGAUUAGCACGCACCCUCGGAAAGGGUGAAAUACCGGUUCGAUUCUCGCUUGAGGUU
Molecule: non-coding RNA, 73 nt
Organism: Parelaphostrongylus tenuis
Lineage: Eukaryota; Metazoa; Nematoda; Chromadorea; Rhabditida; Metastrongylidae
Source: the annotation of a GenBank genome assembly